UUCUUAGAAUUUUUCUUUUUUUACUGUGAAGACGACUACCAUGUUUAGCCGGUCUCUCCCUUUAAAGCAUAAGGUUUUGCUGACGGAAUUGCUUGAAUUGCCAGCAUGGAUUCGGCUUACUCAGGCUACAUGCAACAGGGCUGCUAUACGAAUACAGUGGACCAAAUUGAAAACUGUUCCAAUACAGCUGAGUCUAGAUGAGAUCAGGUCAGUAAUUUUGAAUACUGUUUUAGUAUAUCCAAAUCAGAAUCACCCCCCCCCUCCCUUACAAAAAAAAUGUUUUGUACUUACUAGUGACUAAGUUAGGAAUGUAAGGAGAUUUUGGUUGCUAUGUAAAACAAAAAUAUUACUAAGAGAUAUCAAAUGCAUCAAGUGCCCAAUUUUUUAGUUUUUCUUCCAUAUAUUAGAAAAUUAUUUUAAUUUUUAAAACCGUUAAAUUCUGGCCGUAUUCUACACUCUGAUGCGUGAGUCCUCCGGCGCCGGCAGCGGUGUGGGGUUCUCUAGAAGAUCUUGUUACAAACAAUUAUAAUGUGUUAUUUGCGUUUUCUUCAUUAUUCAUAAAUAUUCGAAUUAAAGAAAUAAAAACAAAAAAGUAAAUAAAUACUUAUAUUACAGCAUAUUUUAGUUGUGGCCGGGGAGCAGCAUAUUUUAGUUGUGGCCGGGGAGCUACAAGAUACAUGAGCUCCCCUAGGCCUCGGUUCAGGGAAAUAAUGAUAACAUAAACCUGUUUAUUAAAAACAAAAAAACUAAAAGGACGGUGUUUAGUUGUGAAUAAUGAUAAAAUAAACCUGUUAAUGAAAAAAAAACUAAAAGGACGGUGUGUAGUUGUGAAUAAUGAUAACAUAAACCUGUUUAUGAAAAAAUGCAAUAAAAGGACGGUGUGUAGUUGUGAAUAAUGAUAACAUAAACCUGUUUAUGAAAAAA
Long non-coding RNA from Eurytemora carolleeae, 924 nucleotides. RefSeq lists it as uncharacterized. NCBI's taxonomy places the organism in Eukaryota, Metazoa, Arthropoda, Copepoda, Calanoida, Temoridae. The transcript has 3 exons. The record is from RefSeq and is a predicted model, not a curated record.